Molecule: ribosomal RNA, 451 nt
Filed under: uncultured bacterium
Lineage: Bacteria
Description: partial 16S ribosomal RNA
Rfam family: Bacterial small subunit ribosomal RNA
Source: RNAcentral
AGCGAACGCUGGCGGCAUGCCUAACACAUGCAAGUCGCACGGGGGGGCUUCGGCCUCCCAGUGGCGGACGGGUGUGGAACGCGUAGGGACCUGUUGAGGGUUGGGGGAUAACCGCGGGACACUGCGUCUAAUACCGCAUGACGCCGCGGCGUGACAGCCGUUGCCAAAAGCGAAAGCCGCCAGACGAGGGGCCUGCGUCCGAUUAACUGGUUGGCGGGGUAGCGGCCCAACAAGGCGACGAUCGGUCGCUGGUCGGAGCGGGUGAGCAGCCACACCGGGAAGGAGACACGGAGAGGACUCCGAGGGGAGGCAGUAGUGGGGAAUAUUGGACGAGGGGAGCAAGGAUGAGGCAGCAAUGCGGGGGGGGGGAAGAAGGUUUGGGGAUUGUAAAGCCUUCUCGGCGGGGACGAUGGUGACGGUACCCGAAGAAGAAGCACCGGCUAACUUCGUG